RNAcentral lists this ribosomal RNA (257 nucleotides) under uncultured bacterium. RNAcentral's name for it is "partial 16S ribosomal RNA". It matches the Rfam family "Bacterial small subunit ribosomal RNA", at positions 96 to 354 of the family's 1533-position model. The record is from RNAcentral.
UGGCGAACGGGUGAGUAAUACAUCGGAACGUGUCCGCUCGUGGGGGACAACCAGCCGAAAGGUUGGCUAAUACCGCAUGAGUUCUACGGAAGAAAGAGGGGGACCCGCAAGGGCCUCUCGCGAGCGGAGCGGCCGAUGACUGAUUAGCCGGUUGGUGAGGUAACGGCUCACCAAAGCAACGAUCAGUAGCUGGUCUGAGAGGACGACCAGCCACACUAGGACUGAGACACGGCCCAGACUCCUACGGAAGGCAGCAG